RNAcentral lists this ribosomal RNA (301 nucleotides) under uncultured bacterium. RNAcentral's name for it is "partial 16S ribosomal RNA". It matches the Rfam family "Bacterial small subunit ribosomal RNA", at positions 509 to 807 of the family's 1533-position model. The record is from RNAcentral.
CAGUCGCCACGGUAAUACGUAGGGUGCGAGCGUUAAUCGGAAUUACUGGGCGUAAAGCGUGCGCAGGCGGUUGUGUAAGACAGGUGUGAAAUCCCCGGGCCUAACCUGGGAACUGCGCUUGUGACUGCACAGCUAGAGUAUGGCAGAGGGGGGUGGAAUUCCACGUGUAGCAGUGAAAUGCGUAGAGAUGUGGAGGAACACCGAUGGCGAAGGCAGCCCCCUGGGCCAAUACUGACGCUCAUGCACGAAAGCGUGGGGAGCAAACAGGAUUAGAUACCCGGGUAGUCCCUGUCUCUUAUAC